GUGGCAGCUUGGGCUUCCCGCAGCGCGAGGGCGUCGACGUUGUGCGCUGCCAUCGGAUGCAGCAAAGCCGGAUCGAACUUGGUCUCGGCCAGUUCUAGCCACGUUCUGCUGGCCGUUGAAGCCGGGCGCCGCCCCUGACCCGGAGGCCAUGUAAUUGAACGGGUCGCCCCAGAUGGCGCCUCUAGCGCCAGUGUCGGCGAGCGGGUGGUUGCGUCGGUCAUAGAUCCCCAUGGGCGCCGUCGCUGAGGGCACGGGCAUGUACCUGCUGCCGGGGCUGCCGACCCUCUGCUCAGUCAUCGCCAAAUUAAACAGCAGUUCAUGCAAGGAAAUGUGGUCAUCAUAUAAGACAGGGAUCUGCACUUUGAUUUUGAUUAGCCCCAAGAUUUGUUACAUGCAGGCACUUCUAGACAUGUGCAAUAGUUUGUUAUAUCAGGUUAUUUUUGGAAGUUCUGGUGAUAUAACUAUGACAGACCUUGGGUCUAUUUAAUCCUGAGCUUAAUUAGGUGUCGAAGAUAUACACAGCAUGAGUAAAGUUUAGCUUCGUCGGGUUUUGCACAACACAUUGGAUGGAUCUUUGUAUAGCCUGCCUCUUCUUUUCUAUUUGCUUAAUUUUAUGUAAUUAAGAAUCGUUCUCAUUUGUAUUGGCUUGUAGUAGUACAACUUUAAACUUUGGAUAA
This is a long non-coding RNA of Lolium rigidum, 677 nucleotides long. RefSeq lists it as uncharacterized. The record is from RefSeq and is a predicted model, not a curated record. NCBI's taxonomy places the organism in Eukaryota, Viridiplantae, Streptophyta, Magnoliopsida, Poales, Poaceae. The transcript has 2 exons.